CAGUCGCGUUCUCUGGGAUUCAGCCUUGCUUCUUGCUUGGUGCAUUUCCUAGUCUACGGGCCAGCAUGAAUCUUGAGCGGUGGAAAAGGGUUUGGGGAAUGUGGCACCUCCGGGUGUGUUAUAGCCCAUUGUUGCAUACGGUGGUUGGGAUUGAGGAACUCAGCACGCCGCAAGGCCGGGUUUCGACCACGUUCGUGCUUAGGAUGCUGGCAUAAUGGCUUUAANCGACCCGUCUUGAAACACGGACCAAGGAGUCUAACAUAUGUGCGAGUG
This 273-nucleotide ribosomal RNA is filed under the name Diversispora epigaea. The record is from RNAcentral. Lineage: Eukaryota; Fungi; Glomeromycota; Glomeromycetes; Diversisporales; Diversisporaceae.